This 200-nucleotide unclassified non-coding RNA is filed under the name Melitaea cinxia (Glanville fritillary). RNAcentral describes it as "misc RNA ENSMCXG00005000381.1". The record is from RNAcentral. Lineage: Eukaryota; Metazoa; Arthropoda; Insecta; Lepidoptera; Nymphalidae.
CCUCGUAAUGAGAUCGGAACUGAGGGAUGUUUUCGAGCAACUAGCGGUGCCGAGAAUGCGGAAUCCGCUGUUCGGCGCUGAGAAAAGUAGAAGUUCUCCUGAAUUAUUUAGAAGCAAAAGUGUUUUUCGUACUGGAUUACUUACGAGAAACGGAUCACUUGACUUGGAACCGCCAAGCGAUAAGGCGGGCAGGAAAAAGG